This is a long non-coding RNA of Oreochromis aureus, 1849 nucleotides long. RefSeq lists it as uncharacterized. The record is from RefSeq and is a predicted model, not a curated record. NCBI's taxonomy places the organism in Eukaryota, Metazoa, Chordata, Actinopteri, Cichliformes, Cichlidae. The transcript is spliced from 3 exons.
UGAAAAUAUUUGUGAUACUUUUCAGAUUUUCGUAGAUGAAGAGAACACAUAAGAGGAGACUGUUGCAUGUGAUACUGAGGAUGAAGAUCAAGAUGAAAAGGGGACCAGUGAUGGUGGGAACAUUAGUAUCACAAAGGUCUUCUGCUGAAUUGCACUGUGGUGAAAAACCCGUGAUGUUCCUGAGAUAUCUAAAAGUUUGUCGUGUUCUUGAGCCAGAGUGCCGCCCUACCAAAAACCACAUCAUGACUACCUUGUAGGACAACACUGUGACCCCACCAGUUCUUGUCAUCUGCAUGUGACAUGAGAAAUAUGGCAUUGUUAUAGAGCCUGGAUAUUUGAGUUACUGUGACAUUUUUGGCAGCUAAAACCAUCCAUACAUCAAUUUUCUUCCACUUCUCUGGAGCCGGGUUGCAGGGACAGCAGCCAAAGCAGAGAAAGCCAGACCUCCCUCUCCCUAGACAUCUCCUCUGUCUUGUCAGGGGAACACCAAGGUGUUCACAGAUCAGCCGAGAGAUGCAGUCUCUCCAGCAUUUCCUGGGUCUGUCCCGGAGUCUCCUUUUGAUGGGCCCGAACCACCUCAACCGGAUCCUUUCAAUGUGGAGAAUUAGCCCCUUUCCCUUGGCCAAACUCCUCACCCUAUCUCUAAGGGAGAGGCCAGCCAUCCUUUGGAGAAAUCUCAUCUGCACCACUUGUAUCGGCGAUCUUGUCUUUCAGUCUUCAGUGAUCUUCUCUGGCUCUUGAUGAAGGCAGUCACACUUUCUCCUUCUCCCUUUCCUUAUCUUUCCUGCUUGGCUUUCUCAUGUCUCUGUGUAGUCUUGUCUACUUCUGUCCCUCUAUGCUGGAAGAGUCUCACAGUCUGUUCUCUAAAACCUAAAAGAGGAAUUAUGGAUUUGAUCAACUUGUCCCUGAAUGCAAUUGACAUCCUCUUCUCAACGAGAAGCCGGGUUUUGGGAGAGCCCAUUGAAGACAUCUACCUUUUUGGAACCAUGAUAACAGGGUUCUUGCUGAUCGGCGCUGGCUUGGCACUGGCUUGGCACUGGCUUAUCGAAGAAUAAAGAAAGCGGAAACAGCUGUUCAAAUCCCCACAAGGCUGCCUGCUAUGUUGAUUGGAACGAUGGAGCGAGCCGUGGCUUCUCAGAAUGGGCUCAUUAGACGCAGCACGGAUGACAUCUUGGAGAAGCUUGCUCUCCAACGGGAAUGGUGAGGAACCAGUGAUGGACAUUAGAUCGACUGUAAAAUUGACAUGCAGUGGUUCACACUAAAGCAAGGACACCACCAUUAUUUCAUGUGGCUACCAUAUCGGCGCCAGCUGUGGUCUCAAGGCUGGAGCUGAACAUAACAAACAAUUUCUCCCCGGAUAACAAACUGUGUUUAGACUCUUCGUUCCAAACGCCCUCGUACGCUUAUCUCCAAGGCCGAGUUGGACAGCAGGUCUGGGCCCAGCGCUGGAAAAAUAGCUGCAGGGCAGGAUGGCUGUGUCUGCGUCGGCUUACUUCUCACCCCUUACCCACCUCUGUUGCUUGUCACGUGCUUAAUGUUCCGAUGUGGACAUUUAUGUGCUCUUUGUGCAGAGGAGUUUUUUUGUUUUCUGUUCUCAGUUUUUCCAUAAUACUACCAGUCUCCAACCUGUCUCCCCAUGUGAUGUCUGUGUUGUGUAUGUAAGAUCUUUAUUUGCAUGUGACAAAUAAAGGCUUUCUUGACUUGACUUCAGUCACUACCCAAAGCUCAUGACCAUAGGUGAGUGUAGAGACGUAGAUUGACCGGUAAUUCAAGAGCGUCGCUUUUACACUCACCCCUUUUUUCACCAAGACUCUGAUUCUGGUUUCUAACCCUUUAAGACCUACCAUAG